This 253-nucleotide ribosomal RNA is filed under the name uncultured prokaryote. Its description in RNAcentral is "partial 16S ribosomal RNA". It matches the Rfam family "Bacterial small subunit ribosomal RNA", at positions 525 to 777 of the family's 1533-position model. The record is from RNAcentral.
ACGUAGGUGGCAAGCGUUGUCCGGAUUUAUUGGGUUUAAAGGGUGCGUAGGCGGCCUUAUAAGUCAGUGCUGAAAUAUCCCGGCUUAACCGGGAGGGUGGCAUUGAUACUGUAGGGCUUGAGUACAGAUGAAGUAGGCGGAAUUGACGGUGUAGCGGUGAAAUGCAUAGAUAUCGUCAAGAACACCGAUAGUGAAGACAGCUUACUAGACUGUAACUGACGCUGAGGCACGAAAGUGUGGGGAUCAAACAGGA